CACGUAGGCGGUUUGGUAAGUCGAAUGUGAAAUCUCACGGCUCAACCGUGAAACUGCGUUCGAAACUACCUGACUUGAGUACUGGAGAGGUAUGCGGAAUUCCUGGUGUAGCGGUGGAAUGCGUGGAUAUCAGGAAGAACACCGGUGGCGAAGGCGGCAUACUGGCCAAGUACUGACGCUCAGGUGCGAAAGCGUGGGGAGCAAACG
This 207-nucleotide ribosomal RNA is filed under the name uncultured bacterium. RNAcentral's name for it is "partial 16S ribosomal RNA". It matches the Rfam family "Bacterial small subunit ribosomal RNA", at positions 568 to 774 of the family's 1533-position model. The record is from RNAcentral.